GACGAACGCUGGCGGCGUGCUUAACACAUGCAAGUCGAACGGAAAGGCGCUGCUUUUGUGGGGUGCUCGAGUGGCGAAGGGGUGAGUAACACGUGAGUAACAUGCACUUGACUUUGGGAUAACUUCUGGAAAAUGGGGCUAAUACCGGAUAGGAGCUACUGAAGCAUGGGGGGGGUUGGAAAGAUUCGGCGGUUGGGGCUGGACUCGCGGCUUAUCAGCUUGAUGGGGGGGUAGUGGCUGACAAGGGUUUUGAAGGGUAGGCGGCCUUGGAGCGUGACCGGCCACAUGGGGACUACGAUACGGCCCAGACUCCUACGUGCGGCAGCAGUGGGGAACAUGGCGCAACGGGCGGAAGCCUGAUGCAGCAACGCCGCGUGCGUGAUGACGUCCUUCGAGUGGUAAACCGCUUUCGCCGUAGACGAAGCGUGAGUGACGGUAAUGGGUAAAGAAGCACCGGCUAACUACGUG
Molecule: ribosomal RNA, 468 nt
Filed under: uncultured bacterium
Lineage: Bacteria
Description: partial 16S ribosomal RNA
Rfam family: Bacterial small subunit ribosomal RNA
Source: RNAcentral